This 101-nucleotide ribosomal RNA is filed under the name uncultured bacterium. RNAcentral describes it as "partial 16S ribosomal RNA". It matches the Rfam family "Bacterial small subunit ribosomal RNA", at positions 1384 to 1482 of the family's 1533-position model. The record is from RNAcentral.
UACACACCGCCCGUCACACCAUGGGAGUUGGCUUUACCCGAAGGCGGUGCGCUAACCGGCAAUGGAGGCAGCCGACCACGGUAGGGUCAGCGACUGGGGUG